GAUACGACCCUCUCUUACACUUCUCUCUUUCUGAAACGGGAAACUGAGAAGUGGGAUGAUCAGGGUAACCAGAUUGUCAAGGUGACAAAAGAAAUGGCAGAUAAACUGUAUCACAUGGCCCAGUACCUAAAGAAGAAAGGGCCAAUCCAGACCAAAGAUGCUUUUGUAACAUCUGCGAAAGAUCUGGUCUCAAGAGGCCAGUCGAUCACCCAGUUUGUGCGUGUCCCGGGCAAGCAUUGUACUGAGGAGCUCUUUGUCAUUGCAGAGCAGAUCCUUACCAUUUCCAACCAACUUACCAUCAUUUCAAGGGGUGCAUGGUGUCUCUCCAGUGUUAAUGCAGUUACUCCUGGGUGCAAAUCAUCAGAUGAGAUCCUGGUGAAGAAUGCACAGAAUCUACUCCAGACAGUUAUCCAAGGAGUACGAGCUGCAGAGACUGCCUGCAUCAGGGGUCUGAAACAGCCUGAGCCAAACUCAGACGCAGCAAAGGCAGCAGCGUUCUGUUUCCAGUGGAAAAAGGGUCUCCUUAUACACCGAGCUCAAGAACAGCUUAACCCCGAAACUGAUGAUUUGGGUCUACGUAGGACCUCCCAGCAUUCAGCGGCACCCAGCCUUGCACCAAGCAUCAAUGUGUUAGAUAAUUACAAACGAGUAAACACAAAAUAAAG
This is a long non-coding RNA of Cyprinus carpio carpio, 665 nucleotides long. The record is from Ensembl. NCBI's taxonomy places the organism in Eukaryota, Metazoa, Chordata, Actinopteri, Cypriniformes, Cyprinidae.